This 274-nucleotide ribosomal RNA is filed under the name uncultured bacterium. RNAcentral's name for it is "partial 16S ribosomal RNA". It matches the Rfam family "Bacterial small subunit ribosomal RNA", at positions 523 to 796 of the family's 1533-position model. The record is from RNAcentral.
AUACGAAGGUCCCGAGCGUUAUUCGGAAUCACUGGGCGUAAAGGGAGCGUAGGCGGCGCGGUAAGUCAGAUGUGAAAUCUCAGAGCUCAACUCUGAAACUGCAUUCGAUACUGCCGUGCUAGAGUAAUGGAGAGGUAACUGGAAUUCUCGGUGUAGCAGUGAAAUGCGUAGAUAUCGAGAGGAAGACCAACGGCGAAGGCAGGUUACUGGACAUUUACUGACGCUGAGGCUCGAAGGCUAGGGUAGCGAAAGGGAUUAGAAACCCUAGUAGUCC